This 65-nucleotide transfer RNA is filed under the name Metidiocerus sp. RNAcentral describes it as "tRNA-Cys". It matches the Rfam family "tRNA". From Rfam's summary of the family: Transfer RNA (tRNA) molecules are approximately 80 nucleotides in length. Their secondary structure includes four short double-helical elements and three loops (D, anti-codon, and T loops). The record is from RNAcentral. Lineage: Eukaryota; Metazoa; Arthropoda; Insecta; Hemiptera; Cicadellidae.
AAUCUUGUAGUUUAAUUAAAACAUUAAAUUGCAAAUUUAACAAUGAAUAUAGAUUUCUAAGAUUU